Molecule: long non-coding RNA, 1402 nt
Organism: Stomoxys calcitrans (stable fly)
Lineage: Eukaryota; Metazoa; Arthropoda; Insecta; Diptera; Muscidae
Exons: 2
Source: RefSeq, a predicted model, not a curated record
UGACUGCACUACAAUUGAAAUGGCAAAUUUUUCACUUGCCCUGGGAUGAUUCAGAAUUGUAGGGGUUGUUUAUUUCAUACCCUUCAUCAUUAGAAAGGUAAUUUGUUUAAUCUAACUUAAAACUCCUUAAAAAAUUGAAAAGCAAUGAAAAAGGAAAGCCAGAGAUCACAACACACACCAACCACUAUGGGACGCAUUUCGUUAUUUGGUUAGAAUAACUCAUCGGCCAUAUUAGGUGAGGAGGCUUCAAGGGCCAUACAUUGGUAGGUCGUACUUAUGUUGAAUAUGCCGCAAAUUUUUGUUCUCACUUAAAAUGCUUGUAUGUCCCAUAGAUAAUUUACCGAGGAUUUUGUAUUCGUAAUUGAGGUGGUUCUCCAUAAUUGGAUGUCAUAAUUCCCAAUUGGUUUAACAAUGCAUUUUUGCCCAUGAACAUUCCACUAUGGAACAGGGGCAUACUUCUCACAUAUCAAUGAGUGCAGUCCGAUUCAAGUUUAAGCUCAAUGGUAAGAAGCUUCCUUUUUAUAGCCGAGUCCAAACGGCGUGCCGCAGUGCGACACCUCUGUGGAGGGAAGUUCUACAUGGCAUAGUACCUCACAAAUUUUGCCAGCAUUAGGAGGGGAAAACCACCGUUGAAAAUUGUUUCUGAUGGUCUCGCCAGGAUUCGAACCCAGGCGUUCAGCAUCAUAGGCAGACAUGCCCACCUCUGAGCUACGGUGGACUCCAAUGUUUUUUACAGGGACGCUACAAAGGUAGACCAAUAGUAACAGUAAUCGUCGUCAUAUUUUUUUGCUGCUCUUUUUACAUUUCUUCAGUAAAGUUUGCCAUUUCGUAAUGGUAAGAUAUACGAGUCAACAACGAGUCGAAAUUAUUGAAAUUUACUACCGAAAUUCGGAGUCAUUGGUCUCAUCGUUUUCAUCGAAAAAUCAUCUUCAGCGAUGAGGCUCAUUUCUGGCUGAAUGGCUUCGUCAAUAAGCAAAAUAUCCGUUAUUGUUCAGAUAGCAAUCCAUACGUACUCCAUGAGUCAUGAUUGCAUCCCGGACUUGGAGGACAUGUGGUUCCAAUAGGACGGCGCCUCAAGCAACACAGCGAUUGUCACAAUCAAUUUAUUGGAAACCAAGUUUGGAGAACGUGUUAUCUAACGAAAUCAUCUCCGCCUCUUUCGUGCGAUUUGACUACGGUCUACGCCAACAAGCCUGCGACGAUUGAUGAACAUGGUACUAAUAUUGAACACGAAAUUGCAGCAGUAUCGGCCGAUUUAUGCUUGAAAACCGUCGAAAAUAGGUUUCAGCGUCUGGACUUCUGCAAGCGUUCCAGUGGUAGCCAUGUAAAAGAAAUCCAGUUCCAUACAUAAUGGCAUCGAACGAACUUUUACAGAAAUAAAGAAUUUCAUUGCAAUCCACAA